GACGAACGCUGUCGGCGUGCUUAACACAUGCAAGUCGAACGGAAAGGCCCUGCUUUUGUGGGGUGCUCGAGUGGCGAACAGGUGAGUAACACGUGAGUAACCUGCCCUUGACUUUGGGAUAACUUCAGGAAACUGGGGCUAAUACCGGAUAGGAGCUCCUGCUGCAUGGUGGGGGUUGGAAAGUUUCGGCGGUUGGGGAUGGACUCGCGGCUUAUCAGCUUGUUGGUGGGGUAGUGGCUUACCAAGGCUUUGACGGGUAGCCGGCCUGAGAGGGUGACCGGCCACAUUGGGACUGAGAUACGGCCCAGACUCCUACGGGAGGCAGCAGUGGGGAAUAUUGCACAAUGGGCGGAAGCCUGAUGCAGCAACGCCGCGUGCGGGAUGACGGCCUUCGGGUUGUAAACCGCUUUCGCCUGUGACGAAGCGUGAGUGACGGUAAUGGGUAAAGAAGCACCGGCUAACUACGUGCCAGCAGCCGCGGUGAUACGUAGGGUGCGAGCGUUGUCCGGAUUUAUUGGGCGUAAAGGGCUCGUAGGUGGUUGAUCGCGUCGGAAGUGUAAUCUUGGGGCUUAACCCUGAGCGUGCUUUCGAUACGGGUUGACUUGAGGAAGGUAGGGGAGAAUGGAAUUCCUGGUGGAGCGGUGGAAUGCGCAGAUAUCAGGAGGAACACCAGUGGCGAAGGCGGUUCUCUGGGCCUUUCCUGACGCUGAGGAGCGAAAGCGUGGGGAGCGAACAGGCUUAGAUACCCUGGUAGUCCACGCUGUAAACGGUGGGUACUAGGUGUGGGGUCCAUUCCACGGGUUCCGUGCCGUAGCUAACGCUUUAAGUACCCCGCCUGGGGAGUACGGCCGCAAGGCUAAAACUCAAAGGAAUUGACGGGGCCCCGCACAAGCGGCGGAGCAUGCGGAUUAAUUCGAUGCAACGCGUAGAACCUUACCUGGGUUUGACAUGGAUCGGGAGUGCUCAGAGAUGGGUGUGCCUCUUUUGGGGUCGGUUCACAGGUGGUGCAUGGCUGUCGUCAGCUCGUGUCGUGAGAUGUUGGGUUAAGUCCCGCAACGAGCGCAACCCUUGUUCACUGUUGCCAGCACGUUAUGGUGGGGACUCAGUGGAGACCGCCGGGGUCAACUCGGAGGAAGGUGGGGAUGACGUCAAGUCAUCAUGCCCCUUAUGUCCAGGGCUUCACGCAUGCUACAAUGGCUGGUACAGAGAGUGGCGAGCCUGUGAGGGUGAGCGAAUCUCGGAAAGCCGGUCUCAGUUCGGAUUGGGGUCUGCAACUCGACCUCAUGAAGUCGGAGUCGCUAGUAAUCGCAGAUCAGCAACGCUGCGGUGAAUACGUUCCCGGGGCU
RNAcentral lists this ribosomal RNA (1346 nucleotides) under uncultured bacterium. RNAcentral's name for it is "partial 16S ribosomal RNA". It matches the Rfam family "Bacterial small subunit ribosomal RNA", at positions 28 to 1381 of the family's 1533-position model. The record is from RNAcentral.